GAAAGUAGGAAAGGGCGCAUGGCGGAUGCCUUGGCUCUCGGAGGCGAUGAAGGACGUGAUAAGCUGCGAUAAGUCACGGGGAGGUGCAAAUAACCCUUGAUCCGUGAAUCUCCGAAUGGGACAACCCGUUACCUUGAAGAGGUAACAUCCAUCAAUGAUGGAGGCUAACGCAGGGAACUGAAACAUCUUAGUACCUGCAGGAAAAGAAAAUAACAAUGAUUCCCCCAGUAGUGGCGAGCGAACGGGGAAGAGCCCAAACCGUUCAUGUUACGGCAUGGACGGGGUUGUAGGACCGCGUCGUUGCAAGAAAUUUUGCGAGAAGAACGAUCUGGAAAGUUCGGCCGAAGACGGUGACAGCCCGGUAUUCUAAGCAAGACGAAGCAUAGCGGUAUCCUGAGUAGCGCGGAACACGAGGAAUUCUGCGUGAAUCUGCCGGGACCAUCCGGUAAGGCUAAAUACUCCCGAGAGACCGAUAGUGGACCAGUACCGUGAGGGAAAGGUGAAAAGCACUUCGAACAGAAGAGUGAAAUAGUACCUGAAACCGUGCGCCUACAAGCGGUCGGAGCACGAAAGUGUGACGGCGUGCCUUUUGCAUAAUGAACCUACGAGUUGCCGUCUUUGGCAAGGUUAAGGGACAUGAGUCCCGCAGCCGAAGCGAAAGCGAGUCUGAACAGGGCGUCAAGUCAGCGGCGGCAGACGCGAAACCAAGUGAUCUACCCUUGGCCAGGAUGAAGUCUGGGUAACACCAGAUGGAGGUCCGCACCAAUAAGCGUUGAAAAGCUUCUGGAUGAGCUGAGGGUAGGGGUGAAAGGCUAAUCAAACUUGGAGAUAGCUCGUACUCCCCGAAAUGCAUUUAGGUGCAGCCUUGCGGGUUACUGAUGUGAGGUAGAGCGACUGAUUGGAUGCGAGGGCUUCACCGCCUAUCAAGUCCUGACAAACUCCGAAUGCGCAUCAGUUCUACCGCAGGAGUGAGGGCAUGGGUGCUAAGGUCCGUGCCCGAGAGGAGAAGAAUCCGGACCACCGGCUAAGGUCCCGAAAUGACAGCUAAGUUAAACUAACGAAGUCUGAUUGCUAAGACAGCUAGGAUGUUGGCUUGGAAGCAGCCAUUCAUUUAAAGAGUGCGUAACAGCUCACUAGUCGAGGAAUCGGGCGUGGAUAAUAAUCGGGUAUGAAGUUGUCUACCGAAGCCGUGGGAUCAGCAAUGAUCGGUAGGGGAGCAUUCCAUUCCGCGUCGAAGGCGUGGCGUGAGCCAUUCUGGAGCGUAUGGAAAAGCAAAUGUAGGUAUAAGUAACGAUAAAGGGGGUGAGAAACCCCCUCGCCGAAAGACUAAGGUUUCCUGAUCAACGCUAAUCGGAUCAGGGUCAGUCGGGUCCUAAGGCUCAGCCGAACGGCGAGGCCGAUGGCAGAAACGGUUAAUAUUCCGUUACUACCUUUGAGGGUGACGUGGGGAAGCAGUAGUGACACUGCCGCGGGCUGACGGAAUAGCCCGUUAAAGAGUGUAGGCGUUGAUUUCCGCAGGCAAAUCCACGGAAAGAGCCGAACUUGACAGUAUGGAGCGUCCUUCGGGACAAUCCAACAGCGCAGGUAAUCAGACUGCCGAGAAAAUCCGCUAAACAUAACUUCAGAGGUACCCGUACCGCAAACGGACACACGUAGUCGGGUUGAAUAUACUAAGGCGCUUGGGUGAAUCACGGUUAAGGAACUAGGCAAACUGACCCUGUAACUUCGGGAUAAAGGGUCCCUCCUCGCAAGAGAGGGCGCAGAGAAUAGGUCCAGGCAACUGUUUAACAAAAACACAGGGCUGUGCGAAUAUGAAAGUAGAAGUAUACAGCCUGACACCUGCCCGGUGCUGGAAGGUUAAGAGGAGAUGUCAUCGCAAGAGAAGCAUUGAAUUGAAGCCCCAGUAAACGGCGGCCGUAACUAUAACGGUCCUAAGGUAGCGAAAUUCCUUGUCGGGUAAGUUCCGACCUGCACGAAUGGUGUAAUGAUCCGGACGCUGUCUCAACCAUGAGCUCAGUGAAAUUGUAGUAUCGGUGAAGAUGCCGAUUACCCGCGAUGGGACGAAAAGACCCCGUGAACCUUUACUAUAGCUUAUCAUUGAAUCUGGGCACGCACUCUGGUUCCCGAUGUACUCAUCCAUACAUCUCCGGCCUCAUAGUUAGCUGCAAUUACAAUACUGUCACUCGGAACAUAGCCAUCACUUGUGCUCCGAUUGCUUGAAGGAUCAUAUUCCCAGUUCUCCCAACCGAAACGGUUCUGAUCACACAUUGCCGUUGCAACUGCUUUAAUUGCUUCAAACUCGGCAUAAUAUGUAUCAGACCAAUAUGUAUCAAACAUAUCCUGUGCCUGUUCAUUGUUGAUCGUUACAACUACGAUAUCCGCACCUAUCUUAUCUUCAUAUUCUGCAAUGACAUCUUCCAAGCUCUUCUCUUCAGAAGAUGUAAGUUUGUCUGCAUAAUCAAAUACUCUCUGAUCCGUCAGACAUUCUGUGUUGCUUCUCUUAUCAUGCUUCAGAUUCUGUUUGCUGAUCAGCGCACUUCCAAUCAUCAGAACAAAUCCGAUAACAAAUAAUACUAAAACGGUGAUCUUAUAUUUCUUCAUAUUAAAUCACCUCCAGGAUCAUAGCUAUGCCGGAAGCACACGCAGCUACCGAUGCAGCAAAUGCUGCUGUAAGUCCGAUCGCACGGCUGACGCUUCUCGGUGGUGUACCCACACACUUACCUGUCUGACCAUUUACAUAGAACAUAUAAUUCUGUCCCUGAUACCGAUAUUCAUAGAUCCAUACAGGCAUCAAUGCAAAUCGGUUCGCCAGCAGUUUAUUAUUUGCGUUCAUAU
Molecule: ribosomal RNA, 2835 nt
Filed under: human gut metagenome
Description: bacterial LSU rRNA
Rfam family: Bacterial large subunit ribosomal RNA (bases 1-2185)
Source: RNAcentral